This 1577-nucleotide ribosomal RNA is filed under the name Anthocoridae sp. SJ-2010. RNAcentral's name for it is "SSU rRNA". It matches the Rfam family "Eukaryotic small subunit ribosomal RNA". Lineage: Eukaryota; Metazoa; Arthropoda; Insecta; Hemiptera; Anthocoridae. The record is from RNAcentral.
UUUGGAUAACUGUGGUAAUUCUAGAGCUAAUACAUGCAACAAAGUCUCGUGCCAUUCAUGGUACGGACGCUUUUAUUAGAUCAAAACCAUUCGCCCAGCUCGCCUGGGCGUUUGCUUGAUGAAACUAGAUAACACUUCAGAUCGCAUGGUCUUUGAACCGGCGACUUAUCUUUCAAAUGCCUGACUUAUCAACUGUCGAUGGUAGACUCUGUGUCUACCAUGGCUGUUACGGGUAACGGGGAAUCAGGGUUCGAUUCCGGAGAGGGAGCCUGAGAAACGGCUACCACAUCCAAGGAAGGCAGCAGGCACGCAAAUUACCCACUCCCGGCACGGGGAGGUAGUGACAAAAAAUAACAAUGCGGAACUCUUAUGAGGCUCCGUAAUUGGAAUGAGUACACUUUAAACCUUUUAACAAGGAUCAAUUGGAGGGCAAGUCUGGUGCCAGCAGCCGCGGUAAUUCCAGCUCCAAUAGCGUAUAUUAAAGUUGUUGCGGUUAAAAAGCUCGUAGUUGGUUCUGCGUGCCACGCUGUCGGUUCGCCGUUUGUCGGUGCAACUGGCAUGUCGUGGCAUGUCCUGUCGGUGGUGAUCAAAAACGCUUGGUCGUUAGUAGUUUUCUGCUGCGUGCCUUGUGCUUUUUGAUUACCGACUCUAUCCUACCGCGGUGCUCUUAACUGAGUGUCGAGGUAGGCCGACACGUUUACUUUGAACAAAUUAGAGUGCUUAAAGCAGGCUGAAAUCUCUGCCUUGAAUAGUGGUGCAUGGAAUAAUAAAACAGGACCUUGGUUCUAUUUUGUUGGUUUUCGGAACACAAGGUAAUGAUCAAUAUGGACAGGCGGGGGCAUUCGUAUUGCGUCCUCCGAUGAGGCGGGGCCGGGAAACCAAAGCUUUUGGGUUCCGGGGGAAGUAUGGUUGCAAAGCUGAAACUUAAAGGAAUUGACGGAAGGGCACCACCAGGAGUGGAGCCUGCGGCUUAAUUUGACUCAACACGGGAAACCUCACCAGGUCAGGACAUUGGAAGGAUUGACAGAUUGAUAGCUCUUUCUUGAUUCAGUGGGUAGUGGUGCAUGGCCGUUCUUAGUUGGUGGACCGAUUUGUCUGGUUAAUUCCGAUAACGAACGAGACUCUAGCCUAUUAAAUAGGCGUCGUGGCAUCGCAGCUGCCACCGACAAUUAUCCUUCUUAACGGGACAGGCGGCUCAUAGCCGCACGAGAUUGAGCAAUAACAGGUCUGUGAUGCCCUUAGAUGUCCUGGGCCGCACGCGCGCUACACUGAAGGAAUCAGCGAGUUCCUCCUAGGCCGAAAGGCCCGGGUAACCCGUUGAACCUCCUUCGUGCUAGGAAUUGGGGCUUGCAAUUGUUCCCCAUGAACGAGGAAUUCCCAGUAAGCGCGAGUCAUAAGCUCGCGUUGAUUACGUCCCUGCCCUUUGUACACACCGCCCGUCGCUACUACCGAUUGAAUGAUUUAGUGAGGUCUUCGGACUGGCGGUAAGCUGUAGCGGCUUGUUCGUUACAGAUGAACGUUGGAAAGAUGACCAAACUUGAUCAUUUAGAGGAAGUAAAAGUCGUAACAAGGUUUCC